CCCCUAAUUUUGCAAGUCGAACCGCAGCACAGUGGAGCUUGCUCCAUGGGUGGCGAGUGGCGGACGGGUGAGGAAUACAUGGGAAUCUGCCCAGUCGUGGGGGAUAACGUAUGGAAACGUACGCUAAUACCGCAUGCGCCCUUCGGGGGAAAGUCGGGGACCGCAAGGCCUGACGCGAUUGGAUGAGCCCAUGUUCGAUUAGCUAGUUGGCGGGGUAACGGCCCACCAAGGCGACGAUCGAUAGCUGGUCUGAGAGGAUGAUCAACCACACUGGAACUUUUUUUUUGUCCAGACUCCUACGGGAGGCAGCAGUAGGGAAUAUUGGACAAUGGGCGCAAGCCUGAUCCAGCCAUGCCGCGUGAGUGAAGAAGGCCCUCGGGUUGUAAAGCUCUUUUGUUGGGGAAGAAAAGCAGUUGGUUAAUACCCGAUUGUUCUGACGGUACCCAAAGAAUAAGCACCGGCUAACUUCGUGCCAGCAGCCGCGGUAAUACGAAGGGUGCAAGCGUUACUCGGAUUACUGGCCGUAAAGCGUGCGUAGGUGGUUGUUAAGUCUGAUGUGAAGCCCUGGGCUCAACCUGGGAAUG
This 584-nucleotide ribosomal RNA is filed under the name uncultured bacterium. RNAcentral describes it as "bacterial SSU rRNA". It matches the Rfam family "Bacterial small subunit ribosomal RNA", at positions 47 to 622 of the family's 1533-position model. The record is from RNAcentral.